Molecule: microRNA precursor, 78 nt
Filed under: Schistosoma mansoni
Lineage: Eukaryota; Metazoa; Platyhelminthes; Trematoda; Strigeidida; Schistosomatidae
Description: mir-3492 microRNA precursor family
Rfam family: mir-3492 microRNA precursor family
Source: Rfam by way of RNAcentral
AGCCUUCUGUAUCCGUGUUGAGAUUUCGUCACACACCAGACCACAAGGGCUGAUGAGACUCCCAAUAUUCAGUAGUCU